This 280-nucleotide ribosomal RNA is filed under the name uncultured bacterium. RNAcentral's name for it is "partial 16S ribosomal RNA". It matches the Rfam family "Bacterial small subunit ribosomal RNA", at positions 1066 to 1344 of the family's 1533-position model. The record is from RNAcentral.
CGUGAGAUGUUUGGGUUAAGUCCCGCAACGAGCGCAACCCUUGUCCUUUUGUUGCCAGCGGGUAAAGCCGGGAACUCAAAGGAGACUGCCAGUGACAAACUGGAGGAAGGCAGGGAUGACGUCAAGUCAUCAUGGCCCUUACGGUCAGGGCUACACACGUGCUACAAUGGGGCGUACAGAGGGAAACGAUACCGCGAGGUGGAGUGGAACCCAAAAAGCGUCCCUAAGUUCGGAUUGGAGUCUGCAACUCGACUCCAUGAAGUCGGAUCGCUAGUAAUCG